Molecule: long non-coding RNA, 412 nt
Filed under: Oryza sativa (Asian cultivated rice)
Lineage: Eukaryota; Viridiplantae; Streptophyta; Magnoliopsida; Poales; Poaceae
Description: long non-coding RNA (OSAT_LNC000154)
Source: RNAcentral
UGACGGCUGCCUUGGUGUAGAGAAUGUCAUACAUGAGGGAGAGCUCCAUCUCCAUCAGCGUCCACAAAUCCACCCUGUUCUCCCUAAGGUACGCAAGUAUUCUGAGAAAGUAUCUAUCUGGAUCAUACAUUGAAGAGUCAACCAUGGCAGACUUGCAGACGAGGAACACGGCGUGGGCACGCCGCAUGAGGAAUUCCUCCUCGUCGACUUCCUUCCCCUUGAAUCCCCCCCGAGGUAGUUCGUCUUCCUCAAGGUAAACCCGGUACAAUUGCCGCGGUUCCUCCUCACCGUCUUCUCGUUCCACCGACGACAGGAUGACCUUAAAGUUGGCGAUCCAGAGAGCCCAAGUCUUCUCAAACAUCUUGAACACGGCCACGGUGGUGACCAUGAUGGCACCCGGCAACAGCAAGGU